AGAACUAUGAACGGGAGUAGCAGUGCGCGUCGUGUGUAGCAUAAAAGAAAUAAAGAAACAGUUGGUGGAAGGAAUUGUAGAAUAAUUGAGUUUGUGAAAAAUAGAAAUAGGAACCUGAAAAAUAAUUAAUUAUAUACUUACCUGGAAAACCUGAAAAAGAAAAAAAAACUGAAAAAAGGUCCGCACAGUGGGCUUUUUUAUGUCUUCUCCAAAAUAGGCAUCAACCACAACUUUCUAGGUAGAAAGUGUAGAGAGCCACCAACAAACUUAAGCGAUUGGCUUACAGCAAGACCGGGCACUCUAACCGCAACUUUUACAACCAACUGCGAAGGACAAUCGAACCUAGACAGACGUGUCCCAGAGGACGAAACAGGAAGACAUAUGCACACAAGGAUAUGGAUAAACAACGUAUCACACCAAAUUAAGGACCACACCACAUUGCUCAAAUACAUAACGAUUGCGCAAGUAUACAAAACCAUAAACUGUGACGUCACAAAUAGUAAAGUAUAUCAAAACACAUAGAAAAGUAUAUGUUUAGAAUUAAAUUAAAAGUAAAAGAAGUAUUUACACAUAGAAUUUAUAUAGUACGCCACUACCAACAUAAUACACGUGUAAUAAAUUAAAAGUUUUGUUUACAUAAA
Long non-coding RNA from Toxorhynchites rutilus septentrionalis, 641 nucleotides. RefSeq lists it as uncharacterized. NCBI's taxonomy places the organism in Eukaryota, Metazoa, Arthropoda, Insecta, Diptera, Culicidae. The transcript has 2 exons. The record is from RefSeq and is a predicted model, not a curated record.